AGCAGCCGCGGUAAUUCCAGCUCCAAUAGCGUAUAUUAAAGUUGUUGCAGUUAAAAAGCUCGUAGUUGAAUUUCGGGGUUAGUAGGUUGGUCAUGCCACUGGUAUGUACUGGUCUCACUGAUUCCUCCUUCCUGAUGAACUGUAAUGCCAUUAAUUUGGUGUUGCAGGGAAUCUGGACUGUUACUUUAGAAAAAAUUAGAGUGUUUAAAGCAGGCUAACGCCUGAAUACAUUAGCAUGGAAUAAUGAAAUAGGACGUUCGAUCCUAUUUUGUUGGUUUCUAGGAUUGACGUAAUGAUUAAUAGGGAUAGUUGGGGGCAUUAGUAUUCAAUUGUCAGAGGUGAAAUUCUUGGAUUUAUUGAAGACUAACUACUGCGAAAGCAUUUGCCAAGGAUGUUUUCAUUAAUCAAGAACGAAAGUUAGGGGAUCGAAGACGAUCAGAUACCGUCGUA
RNAcentral lists this ribosomal RNA (450 nucleotides) under uncultured Glomeromycotina. Its description in RNAcentral is "SSU rRNA". It matches the Rfam family "Eukaryotic small subunit ribosomal RNA", at positions 569 to 1022 of the family's 1831-position model. The record is from RNAcentral. Lineage: Eukaryota; Fungi; Glomeromycota.